This is an RNA transcript of Bacillus rossius redtenbacheri, 987 nucleotides long. RefSeq lists it as uncharacterized. The transcript has 7 exons. The record is from RefSeq and is a predicted model, not a curated record. Lineage: Eukaryota; Metazoa; Arthropoda; Insecta; Phasmatodea; Bacillidae.
GUAGUCACAUAUAAAGGUGUACGUAACUCGGAAGGGCAUCAGGCGUGAAUAAAGUUUUGGCGGAUUAUAUAUAAACUGACGGAGACACAACAGGAAGUGGCAUUGCUGGACAUACGGCACAGCAGUUGCCAUGGCUUACGAAAAAAUUCUUCUGUCCUUGACAGUCUUCACGUUUCUGUGUGUGUUGCAGGUCAGUGGAGGAAAAUUUUGUAUGAAGAUGGUACCUGUGUUAAAGAAGUGUGCUGAUGAUUGUACAAAAAAAGAAGGUGUUUCGAUGACUCAAAAGGAACAAAUGGAUAUAGUUGCAAAAAAUGCCCUCAAUCAGAAUCUGGAAAGAAAGCUUUUGUAUGCGUCCUUUUAUGCAGUAAAUUGAUAAACCCUGAGACUUGCCAGGUAAACAAUGAAGGCGUGAAAGAAAUGAGUAAAAAGUGCGGUAAAACCAAACAAGAGAAAGAGAAAAUGAUUAAAGCUGGAAAUACUUGCCAGGCUCAAGUCGCCAAGAAGGUAAAGUCAUGUGAGCCAGCCACAGAAGCAGCUGAUGUUAUUUGCAAGUGUCUGAUGGCUCAAAAUAUGUUUUAAAAUACGCUACUUAAAGCCUUCAAAACAAGCCAAAUUCUCCUUCGGCCAGAAGAUGUCAUCACGCGAGCAACGUUUAUAUUUAAAAAAGCACUAUAACUUUCGAAAUUUAAAUGAAAUAUGACUUGGCUAAAUGUGUCAUUUAUGUAAAAUAUAAUGUGAAAUAAAAUUAAUUAAAAUUAAUUAAUAAAUUAUGUUUUGAUACCAGCAGUAUAAUUUUGUGUAAUUAAUUAAACAUUAUAUAUGUGAGAACAAUUAAAAUAACUAAGCUAUUUUUUAAUUAAAUAAGUGGUUUUUAUUUAUGUAUAUAUAUGUAUCGAAAAAUUUAGAUAACACUCAUGUUAUUAUAUAUGUUCUACUCACACUUUGUGGAAUAAAAUAUUUCUCAAUAAAAUUAAUUAUGUUGUUUAG